RNAcentral lists this signal recognition particle RNA (148 nucleotides) under Gorilla gorilla gorilla (western lowland gorilla). RNAcentral's name for it is "Metazoan signal recognition particle RNA". It matches the Rfam family "Metazoan signal recognition particle RNA". From Rfam's summary of the family: The signal recognition particle (SRP) is a universally conserved ribonucleoprotein. It is involved in the co-translational targeting of proteins to membranes. The eukaryotic SRP consists of a 300-nucleotide 7S RNA and six proteins: SRPs 72, 68, 54, 19, 14, and 9. The record is from Rfam by way of RNAcentral. Lineage: Eukaryota; Metazoa; Chordata; Mammalia; Primates; Hominidae.
GCUGGGCGUGGUGGCACAUGCCUGUAGUCCCAGCUACUUGGAAGGCUGAGGCAGGAGGAUCACUUGAGCCCAGGAGUUCAAGGCUGUAGUGAGCUAUGAUGGCACCACUGCACUGCAGCCUGGGUGACAAAGUGAGACCCUGUCUCUA